UCCACACCUGGGAUAUGAACCGGUGGACCCUGGGCCACCAAAGCUGAGUGCACAAACUUAACCACUGCGCCACAGGGCAGGCCCCUCACAGUUGUUUUUCAAAGGUAAGAUUUGUCAACCUUCUCACUCCAUCACGCCAGAAGUUCGAAGUCUGAAAUAAUUAAGAUGUGGAAGAGUAUGUACAGUAUAAUUCCAUUUACAUCUGCUCUAAGUACGGGCAAAACUAAACUACAUGGUUUAAGGAUGAGUGUAUCGGUGGUGAUACUGUGAAGAAAAGCAAGUAAAUGAUUAUCAUCUAUGUGAGGAUAGUCAUUACCUCUCAGAGGAGGAAGGGGCGGUUGUGGAGGGAAGUGGACACAUGGAGCACAUGGAUGGUUUCCGGGAUGCCAAUACUAUUCUAUCUCUUGAUUUGAAUGGUAGUUAACAAAUAUUCACUUUAAAACCAUUUCUUAAACAAUAUAUGUAGUUUUAUACAUGCAUGUUUCAGCAUGUAUAUUAUAUAUUACAAUAAAAACUGUAUAAAUCACACUAUUAAUUUGUUAAUUUAGUCAAUAAAUAUUUAUUGUGCAACUUUAGUAUAAACAGCAGUUCUAGACAAUGAGCAUACAGUAACAAAGUCAGAGAACGUCUCUGUUCUCAUGGAGCUUACAGCUUAUGGGGAGAAAGACAGUGAAAAGUAAGUCCAAAAAAGGGGUAAUUUCAGAUUACAACAAAGAGUAUGAAGAACAGGCUGGUGGCUAGAGGGAAGCACUGGGGAGGAGGGCAGUGAGCCAGCUCUGCCAGAGAAGGUCUCUCUGCGGAGAUGACAUUUGAGUGAGAACUGAAGAGUGAGAAGGAGUUGGCCAUAUAAGGAUCUGGAGCAAGCGCCUCCCAGGGAGAGAAAAUAAGUUCAGAGCUCAGAAAAGUCUGGAGAAGGAGAGAGGGACUUGCGAGCUGACAUCAAACAUCUGAAGGAUUGCUUUGGAUGGACGCAAGGAGGUGGAGUGAGGCUCAGCGGGUACAAGGCAAGAGAGGCUGAAUUCUGCUGGAGGAAAGGCAGGCUUGGCGCCGUCAGAACUGAAAGCGGAUCGCCCACACUUUGAGGUGAGGCUACAGGGGGUGAGAAGCAUUUUUAAUAGUCAUCACUUCACUGUGUAACGUGUGAAAGCAAUUCGGCACCUCUUCUUUUUUGGAAUGGCUCUUUGAAAAGCACCCUAACUUCAGCAACAUUGGCUCUAAUAUCUCAUCUAUUCCGGUAAAAUGGUUCUCCCCCUUUUACUGCACAGCAUCUCACGUUGCAGGUUAGAAGCAACAAAGGAAACAAGGUGAUGCAGGGGCGCCCAGCCUGUAGGAUGGGGUCUGGGUGGGCAUGCUCUUUAUGAACGGAAAUCACAGUUUCCUUUGUAGAGAGUAAGACUUGGAUUAAAUCUUUGGAUAUUUUUUAAAUGUCUUUUUCACAAUCAUGUAUUGGGAAACCCAUUUCUUACUAAACUGAUUGAAUAAUACGUUUAUGAUCUAUAAUUGCACUUACAGCUUUUCUGUAAAUGUAAACUAUAAUUUGUUGUCAAUUUUAUAUGUUUUGCUGUAACAUUUAAGAGAAGACCAGACUUUUUUUAAGAAAGAGUUUAUUUAGAAAGCAUCAUCAUGUAAAUAAAUUGUACCACUUUGAUUUUCUUUGAAUACAAGAUUCAUGAUGCAAAGCUGAAGCCACUCAUGAGGACUGUGCUUUUCUAAAAAGUUGGGUCUUUUCAAAAACAUCUAUGAACUAUGCAUGAUUAAUAAAGAUUUCCUUUGAGGCAGGACAAAAUAAAAACUCCUUUUUUCCCAUAUUAACAAUUGUACACAAAUGUUUGUACCUGCUUUAUUUUCAAUAGCCAAAAAUGGGAAAUAACUCAAAUGUCCAUAAACAGAUGAAUGGAUAAACUAAUAGUGGUAUAUCCAAAGAUAAGAAUAUUACUCAGCAAAAAAACCCCAGAAGGAUGAGCUAUUCAUAUAAUACCAUUGAGGGAUCUCAAAGUAAUUAUGAAACAUAGAACAAACUAAAAAGAAAAAAGAGUAAACAUUUUAGGAUUCCAACCACGUAAAUUCUAGAAAAUGCAAAGGUGUCUAUUGUAAGGAAAAGCAAAUCAACGGUUAUUUGGAGCAUUGUGAAGGGCAGGGAGAGAGAUUAUAAAAGGACAUGAAGCAAAUAGAUGGUGACAGAUAUGAUCAUUACCUGACUAUGAGAAUGGUCUCACAGGUACAUAUGUAUGUUGAAACUUAUAAGAUACCACAUUUUAAAUAUGUGCAGUUUUAUUACAUAUAAAUUAUACUUUCAUAAAGCUUUUAAAAACGACUCAAGAAAAAAGCCUACAUGUUCCACUCUUUUUGGAAAAUGGUUUUGGCAACCCUGUAUUAACUCCACCAUUAGCGCAAGUGCCUCAUCAAGAGGUACUUGAGGAGCCAGCACAGCCCAUAUCACUGGAAGAUUGUCACUCUCUUAGUAAGGUUAGUGAACACACGGUUUUUGGCCAUCCCUCCUCUCAUGUGGAACAAUCUCCGGUUCUCCUGGUGGGACUUCUCUCUCCCCUAUUGUGACAACCUUGACUUAACAAUAGCCCUGGACAAAGAGUGGUCACGUCAUGACCUGAGACGAGUCACAUGGGCCUUCGUCCGCUGGACCCUCCUUUCUGCAGCGGUCCAAAGGUGGAGUCGAGGACACAACGCAAAGCUGAUGCCCCCUAGCGGUUGUCUCAGGGGCGGCCUUAGCAUUUCUGUGUAGAAGCGAGGGGGUGGCAUUCGGCUCGAUGGCAGGAUUUCCGGGCCAGCUUGAAACUACUUUCACAUGGCAUUUGGAAUAAGGGUUGUCUCACUUUCGAUGGCAAAUGAAUCCAGGAGUGACAAGCUUAAACCUGUCCUUAGUCACUUUGGACUUAGGAACGAUGGACUUCACAAACAGCCACAGAAAAAUGAAAAUAUACAGAUUCUACACUUUCACAAGUGAACAUCAGAUUUACCCACACUGCUUCUGGUUCUCAUAUUUUUCACUGUGAUCAGUACAGAACAUCUACGCUAUUCAUAUUCAAUAAAUGAGAAGCCAAACUUUCCCAGUAAUCACAACAUCUCUCAUGCAAACAGAAGAGUUUGAUGAAAACAAUUUCAUUUUCUAGAGCGGGUGGGCAGGGGGAAGGUAUCUGGAGUGAGUUAGAAACCCCACUCAACCCACCUCAGCUCCUGCCCACUAUUGCCAGGCAGGAGUGAGCAACCUCAUGUGGCCAGAUCUUCCCAUUUUCCAAGAGAAGCUAGAAAUUGAGUUUGUAUUU
Non-coding RNA from Equus caballus (horse), 3281 nucleotides. NCBI's taxonomy places the organism in Eukaryota, Metazoa, Chordata, Mammalia, Perissodactyla, Equidae. The record is from RefSeq and is a predicted model, not a curated record.